This 482-nucleotide ribosomal RNA is filed under the name Dorypteryx domestica. RNAcentral describes it as "partial 16S ribosomal RNA". Lineage: Eukaryota; Metazoa; Arthropoda; Insecta; Psocodea; Psyllipsocidae. The record is from RNAcentral.
AUUUGAGUAUAUAAGGUCCAAUCUGCUCACUGAAUUUUAAAGAGCCGCGGUAAAUUGACUGUGCUAAGGUAGCAUAAUAAUUUGUCUUUUAAUUGGAGACUGGAAUGAAUGAUUAAAUAUAAAAUUUUCUUUCUUUUAUUUAAUUUAAAAUUUAAUUUUAAAGUUAAAAAUCUUUAAUUUUUUUAAGGGACGAGAAGACCCUAUAGAUUUUUAUUAGUAGAGGUUAAUUAAUUUUUAUAGUUAAUUUUAAAAUAAUUUGACUGGGGUGGUUAAAAAAUUUGAUUUGCUUUUUUUUUGUUUUUAUUGAUAAGUAUAUUUUAUGAUCCUUGAUUUUGAUUAAUAGAAUAAAUUACCUUAGGGAUAACAGCGUAAUUUUUUUGGAAAGUUCAUAUAGAAAAAAGAGAUUGCGACCUCGAUGUUGAAUUAAGAAUUUGUUUAUAAGGAGAAAUAUAAAUAAAUAGUCUGUUCGACUAUUAAAAUCU